RNAcentral lists this ribosomal RNA (1320 nucleotides) under uncultured bacterium. RNAcentral's name for it is "bacterial SSU rRNA". It matches the Rfam family "Bacterial small subunit ribosomal RNA", at positions 27 to 1360 of the family's 1533-position model. The record is from RNAcentral.
GGAUGAACGCUAGCGGCGUGUUUAAGAUAUGCAAGUCGAACGACCUUUCCAGCUUGCUGGAAAGAAAGUGGCAGACGGCUGAGUAACACGUAGGAAUCUACCUCUUGGUAAAGAAUAGCUCCGGGAAACCGGGGGUAAUGCUUUAUAGUUCCGCAAGGAUAAAGGGCGUAACUGCUCGCCGAGAGAGGAGCCUGCGGCUUAUCAGGUUGUUGGUAGGGUAACGGCCUACCAAGCCUAUGACGAGUAGCUGACCUUAUGAGGGUGAUCAGCCAGAGGAGCACUGAGACACGGGCUCCACAUCUACGGAUGGCAGCAAUCAAGGAUCGUUGGCAAUGGGCGAAAGCCUGACCACGCGACGCCGCGUGCGGGAAGAAGCCUUUCGGGGUGUAAACCGCUGUGGUAGGGGAAGAAGCCUCGAUUAUGUCGGGGUUGACGGUACCCUACUAGAAAGUAGCCGCUAACUUCGUGCCAGAAGCGUCGGUGAUACGGGGGCUACAAGCGUUAUCCGGUGUGACUGGGUGUAAAGGGUCUGUAGGCAAUCCAUCAAGUCCUGCCUUAAAGACCCCGAUUCAAUCGGGGAAAUGGGUAGGAAACUGAUGGAAUAGAGUUUUCUCAAGGGAAAUCGGAAUUGACGGAGGAGUAGUGAAAUGCGUUGAUACCGUCAAGAACACCAAUGGCGAAGUCAGAUUUCUAGGAGUUAACUGACGCUGAGAGACGAAAGCUAGGGGAGCGAACCGGAUUAGAGACCCGGGUAGUCCUAGCCCUAAACGAUGCUCGCUAGUUGCAUUUCCCCCUGAUUUAUUUCGGGGAGAGGUGUGGCGAAGCUAACGCGUUAAGCGAGCCACCUGGGGAGUACGACCGCAAGGUUGAAACUCAAAGGAAUUGGCGGGGAGACACACAACUAGUGGAACAUGUGGUUUAAUUCGAGACAAACCGAAGAACCUCACCAGGGCUUGACAUCCCAAUGACGUCCCGGUGAAAAUCGGGAUUUCUUCGGACAUUGGAACAGCUGUUGCAUGGCUGUCGUCAGUUCGUUCCGUGAGGAGUGCCCUUAAGUGGGACAACGAACGUAACCCUUGUCCCGAGUUACACGUAUCUCGGGAGACUGCCUGCGCUUAGCGCGGGAGGAAGGAGAGGCGGACGUCAAGUCAGCAUGACGCUUAUGCUCUGGGCCACACACAUGUUACAAUGAGGUGGACAAUGGGUUGCAAAGCGGUAACGUGGAGCUAAUCCCACAAACCACCUCCCAGUGGGGAUUGAGGUCUGAAACUCGACCUCAUGAACGCGGAAUUAGUAGUAAUCGCGGGUCAGCUAUACCGC